Molecule: long non-coding RNA, 481 nt
Filed under: Salvia miltiorrhiza (redroot sage)
Lineage: Eukaryota; Viridiplantae; Streptophyta; Magnoliopsida; Lamiales; Lamiaceae
Description: long non-coding RNA (SMIL_LNC008876)
Source: RNAcentral
CAUGCUCAGCCAUCUAUUCUGGACAUUUUUUUGACUCCAGCUCCACGCCUAUGUAAUACUCCUUUUUGACUCCAGCUCCAGCAGCAUAUUUGCAAAAUUUUCACACCCGAACACCUUCAUUUGGUUUCAGAUUUCAAGCAUAUAAAUUACUCAUUUCAUACCCAUUCCAUACUUAAACGUUUUCAUCAUUCUCUGCCAAAGAAAUUUUCAAGUAUCAGUUAAUUCUUGCUUCAUUCAACUGCAACCUUCAACCAAAGCAAACAUUAAGGUAUUCUGUUUCUUUUCAAUUUACUUCCUCCUGUUACAUGAUGCACACCCACAGAAAUCAUAUUCAUUAGAUUGAAAUGCAUCAUACGAAGGGAGUAGCAUAACUAGUUACUUCUAUAGAAUCAAACACACUAUGACUUACACAUGAAACUCAAAUCGUGAAUCACCAUUUACGACGAAGUUAAUGAUGUCAAAAAGGAGACUAGUAUAUGAC